AUGACGGCUGCCAUCCGGGAUCUCACCCAGGCGGUCACGGGCAUCUACACGUUCCUCGCGAGAUCCUAUGGGCCGCAGCCGCCUGUGCCCUUCGCCACCGCCCCGCCGUCGCAGCAGCCGCCGUGGCGGCCGCCGUCCUCGGCGACCCCCGUCGCCGCCGCCAUGCAGCAGCUGGCGUGGCAGCCGCCACCAGCGACGAACCCUGGCGCCUCCACCAUGCAGCAGGGGCAACAGCUGCAGCCGCCGCCACCGACGACUGCGGCCCUGGGCAUCCCGACGACGGGCCCGAGGGUGCCCAUCCACCAGGUCCGGUUUCCCCCGUCGCCGUCGCCGUUACCGGCCUGGCUCGCUGGGUCCCUUGAGCCGGUCUACACGACGGCCUCGGUCGGGCCGCACGUGCUGCCCCCGCCGGCGAUGCACCCGGCCAUGCAGUUUGGUGGGUCCUCGGGCUACGCCGAGCCCUUCUCUCUGUAG
Molecule: ribosomal RNA, 474 nt
Filed under: Triticum aestivum (bread wheat)
Lineage: Eukaryota; Viridiplantae; Streptophyta; Magnoliopsida; Poales; Poaceae
Description: partial small subunit ribosomal RNA
Source: RNAcentral